CCUACGGGCGGCAGCAGUGGGGAAUAUUGGACAAUGGGGGGAACCCUGAUCCAGCCAUGCCGCGUGUGUGAAGAAGGCCCUCGGGUUGUAAAGCACUUUCAGUGAGGAAGAACGCCUGGUGGUUAAUACCCAUCAGGAAAGACAUCACUCACAGAAGAAGCACCGGCUAACUCCGUGCCAGCAGCCGCGGUAAUACGGAGGGUGCGAGCGUUAAUCGGAAUUUCUGGGCGUAAAGCGCGCGUAGGUGGCUUGAUAAGCCGGUUGUGAAAGCCCCGGGCUCAACCUGGGAACGGCAUCCGGAACUGUCAAGCUAGAGUGCAGGAGAGGAAGGUAGAAUUCCCGGUGUAGCGGUGAAAUGCGUAGAGAUCGGGAGGAAUACCAGUGGCGAAGGCGGCCUUCUGGACUGACACUGACACUGAGGUGCGAAAGCGUGGGUAGCAAACAGGAUUAGAUACCCGGGUAGUC
RNAcentral lists this ribosomal RNA (465 nucleotides) under Vreelandella stevensii. Its description in RNAcentral is "partial 16S ribosomal RNA". It matches the Rfam family "Bacterial small subunit ribosomal RNA", at positions 338 to 795 of the family's 1533-position model. Lineage: Bacteria; Pseudomonadati; Pseudomonadota; Gammaproteobacteria; Oceanospirillales; Halomonadaceae. The record is from RNAcentral.